This 106-nucleotide ribosomal RNA is filed under the name uncultured bacterium. Its description in RNAcentral is "partial 16S ribosomal RNA". It matches the Rfam family "Bacterial small subunit ribosomal RNA", at positions 1379 to 1482 of the family's 1533-position model. The record is from RNAcentral.
CCUUGUACACACCGCCCGUCACACCAUGGGAGUUGGUUUUACCCGAAGCCGGUGCGCUAACUCGCAAGAGAGGUAGCCGACCACGGUAAGGUCAGCGACUGGGGUG